Sceloporus undulatus (fence lizard) is the source of this 1413-nucleotide long non-coding RNA. RefSeq lists it as uncharacterized. The transcript has 2 exons. NCBI's taxonomy places the organism in Eukaryota, Metazoa, Chordata, Lepidosauria, Squamata, Phrynosomatidae. The record is from RefSeq and is a predicted model, not a curated record.
ACGCCCCCUUUCCCGUGGACGAGGCUUAAAAAGGGAGUGAAGUCAAAGUUUUCCCAUUUAGUCCCUCCUCCUUCUCCUCUCUGACAGAAGAGGGAGGGACUACAGGAAGCGCCGCUCGCUGUGAUUGGACAGAAAGAAACGACAAGAAAAAAUAGACGGCGUGUGGUGAUUGGCUGGCGUAGCCCCGUCUCUUGGAAACGGGAUGGAGGGGGCGGGGCCGGCCCAAAAGCCUUCGAAUUGAAGACGGCAACCUGAGUCCAACUGCGCAUGCGCUCCAGGCCUUUAACGUUCUUUCUUCCCUCCCCUUCGGCCGGGCGCCAUUUUGUGCGCUGCUCCGCGUCACGUCCCGGGUCCAUCUCUUUCUAUCCGAAGGCGAGGAGCAGCUGGAGCGCGAAGAAGGCGGCGGCGGAAAGGGCUGCGAAGGGAGAGGCCUUGAAGGCAGGCUGGAGCAGUUUUCUACUUCAGAACUUGCCCUAGAAAGGCACCCAAGUGAUGUGGUCAUCAGAGCCGUGGUAAAUAAAAUUGGAACAGUGAUGAAGUACUUCAUGAAGGAGCUUGUGGCAUCAAACGACUUACAGAGAAUGAAAAUUUCACAGUUGCAAAACUGGAAAAUUGAAUUCAAGAGGAACAUGUUUGGCAUAUAUAGUCUGGAAGACAGCUGAAUGUGGGUAACAUACACUCUGUAUGUUGAUGCAUUGACAAGAUGGUUAUAGAUCAUGCCUGCAGUGGUGGGUCAGAAACCUUGUGAGUGAAAAGUCAAUAUGAGGGAUGUCCUUUAUGUUGAUUGUUGGUCUGAAUACAGCACCAGUUUACCAUUCUUGAUGUCACAAUGCGAGGAAUCAGCUGCAGUUUAUAGGCUGACAGGUUAAAUAGCUGUAGAUUUUGGAUGCUAUGGCAGUGAAAUGGAUAACAAGUAGUAAUAAAGCUGUGGCACCAGUGCUGCAUGUAGUAGCAGGUAGUGAAGGUGGGGAAUGGCAUCCUUAUAGAAUUUAGUGACUGAAAGUGCUGAUGAUCAAUUGUCAAAAGAUGAUUCAGUAUAAAGAAGCUUGGUCAUGUAAGGCUUUAGCUGUGGUAAUGGUUAACAGAAGCUUUAAACUGCUUACUGAACAACAAAAGGAGAUGACAUGUUGGAACUUGCACUUUCCUAUAGCAAUGUCCUUUGUGCUACAGAAGUUGUCCAUACUCAGAAAGUUAACUUGGCUAACGUUUAUUUUGGGAUAUAGAUUGUUGUUUGUUUUUGAUCUUCUUUUGUGCAAGUGCUUGCAUUAUAUCUAUUUGUACCAUCUGUUCUACCAGACUGGAACUCAAGCCAGGUUACCAAAUGAAAAGAAAUUCCCCUAAAAUGCAUAAAUAUACAAAAUGUGAUGUUUAAAAUGUUACCUAAAGUAGAAUUAAAAACUCUUGCACAGUAAA